This 397-nucleotide ribosomal RNA is filed under the name uncultured bacterium. RNAcentral describes it as "partial 16S ribosomal RNA". It matches the Rfam family "Bacterial small subunit ribosomal RNA", at positions 523 to 918 of the family's 1533-position model. The record is from RNAcentral.
AUACGUAGGGGGCGAGCGUUGUCCGGAAUGAUUGGGCGUAAAGGGCGCGUAGGCGGCGCGGUAAGUCUGGAGUGAAAGUCCUGCUUUCAAGGUGGGAAUUGCUUUGGAUACUGCCGCGCUUGAGUGCAGGAGAGGUUAUCGGAAUUCCCGGUGUAGCGGAGAAAUGCGUAGAGAUCGGGAGGAACACCAGUGGCGAAGGCGGGUAACUGGACUGCAACUGACGCUGAGGCGCGAAAGUGUGGGGAGCAAACAGGAUUAGAUACCCUGGUAGUCCACACUGUAAACGAUGAAUGCUAGGUGUAAGAGGUAUCGACCCCUUUUGUGCCGGAGUCAACACAAUAAGCAUUCCGCCUGGGGAGUACGGCCGCAAGGUUGAAACUCAAAUGAAUUGACGGGG